RNAcentral lists this ribosomal RNA (544 nucleotides) under Leptammina grisea. Its description in RNAcentral is "partial 18S ribosomal RNA". The stretch from base 1 to 438 matches the Rfam family "Eukaryotic small subunit ribosomal RNA", at positions 1220 to 1501 of the family's 1831-position model. The record is from RNAcentral. Lineage: Eukaryota; Foraminifera; Astrorhizida; Saccamminidae.
GGGUCCGGACACACUGAGGAUUGACAGGCAAUUAUUGUGCUUUGUAACUUUUUUUUAAGUUGCUUACACAACAACAAAUUAUGCUAGUCCUUUCAUGAUUAUGUGAUAGGUGGUGCAUGGCCGUUCUUAGUUAGUGGAGUGAUCUGUCUGCUUAAUUGCGUUUCAUCAGGGACCAUGUUUAUUUAUGUACUUUCUUACUCGCUUUUUAAGCACUUUUUGUGUUUUUUAAGCUUGUACUUUAGUGCAAUUGGUCCUGAAAGCAACGAACGUGACCGCAUCCUCUUGUUGCCUUUUUAACUUGAGUUGUUUACACUUCUCAUAACAUAAGAGGCUCUCCUAAAACUAGAGGGACCGCUGCGACUUUUUUAAACCAGAGGAAGGUUGCGGCAAUAACGGGUCUGUGAUGCCCUUAGAUGUUCCGGGCUGCACACGUGCUACAAUGAUUAUUGCAGUGAGCAUCUCAUUUUAUUUUUUGUGCUUGUCUUGUCUGACUCUUUUACGAGGGAAAGACGACAGCCUUAGCCUGCUUCGAAAGUUCGCAGGU